RNAcentral lists this ribosomal RNA (427 nucleotides) under uncultured bacterium. Its description in RNAcentral is "bacterial SSU rRNA". It matches the Rfam family "Bacterial small subunit ribosomal RNA", at positions 355 to 774 of the family's 1533-position model. The record is from RNAcentral.
UAGGGAAUUUUUCACAAUGGGCGAAAGCCUGAUGGAGCAAUGCCGCGUGACUGAUGAAGGUCUUCGGAUUGUAAAGGUCUGUUGUAAGGGAAGAAGUACUAGAAUAGGAAAUGAUUUUAGUAUCGACCAUACCUUACCAGAAAGCCACGGCUAACUAUGUGCCAGCAGCCGCGGUAAUACAUAAGUGGCAAGCGUUAUCCGGAUUUAUUGGGCGUAAAGCGUGCGUAGACGGUUUUGCAAGUCUGAGGUUAAAUUUAGGGGCUCAACCCCUAACCGCCUUGGAAACUACAUUACUAGAGUAUAGGAGAGGUUAGUGGAAUUUCAUGUGUAGCGGUGGAAUGCGUAGAUAUAUGAAGGAACACCAGUGGCGAAGGCGGCUAACUGGCCUAUUACUGACGUUGUGGCACGAAAGCGUGGGGAGCAAAUA